Long non-coding RNA from Misgurnus anguillicaudatus (oriental weatherfish), 2550 nucleotides. RefSeq lists it as uncharacterized. The record is from RefSeq and is a predicted model, not a curated record. Lineage: Eukaryota; Metazoa; Chordata; Actinopteri; Cypriniformes; Cobitidae.
UUAACACAUUUAAUUUGGUCAAUAUAAAAACAUGUCCCUUUCAUUCUCCCACCAUCCAAUUUGUGUAACAAUGAUAUCCAGUGAUUGCUGGAAAAUCACUUAGGCUAGUUGUAUGGCUGGACGGAAAAGUGCACUCAGUAAUCUAAAUAUAAAGACAUAAUAUAUAAAUACAAAGUAACUUUCAAAUACGAAGUAAAAUCAUUCCCUGGCUUCCCUGUUGACUUGAUGAGGUACGGGUAAAUGUCCAGGUAAGACACCUCUGGCCAAUGGGGUUACACAAAUUUGACGCUGUGAGAAAGGGGCAUGUUUUUAUUUUGACCAAAUUAAAUAUGUUAAUGUAUCUUUCGCACUCUAUGGCAGGCAGGGUGGACAGAUAAUUACUCAACAUGUUUAAUCUGAGUGAUUUCUUAAGUUAUUUAUGCCUGCCGGGUGUGUACGAACGUUGCUUUGUCCCGCUCUUUUGUAUGGAAGUCAAUGGGAAGUCUAGUUUGUUUUCCCCAAAAAGUGGACGUGAACCUGUUCAGAGACAUUCUAUGACGUUGUGCCGGUUGUGCGUAUCCUGAGGUAAUAGUAAAUUCCCGCUUCAGGUAGCAUUGCAGUGAGAGGCAGGAGUUCAGCUGACGCGUCUGUGUGGGGGAGGGGAGGAGUUCUCUCUGGGGAAGAAGAACACUGACAUCCGGUGGUUGCGCCUGGACCUUUUGUGACUUCACUUAAAGAGCACAUAUUAUGAGAUACAGGUUUUUAAACAUCCUUUUCUGUGUAGGUGUGUAUUAGUACAUGCUAACGAUAUUCAAAAAGUACAUACCUCAAAGAAAACAAUGACGCGAGUUAUCGUCUCUAACGUUCUAGGACUACAAAAAACACUCGGAUUGUAGGCAACAGUUUACUUCCUGGGAUUAGUGACAUAGACAAGACCAACAUUAUCAUAGUUCAGCCCUCUCUGCUUUGCUUGGGUACGCCCUCAAAGAUGGGGGUGGAGAGCGCUGAGUCCGAAGAGAGCUGAAAUGGUGGAGGUUGGGAGUCCCUGAUCGAGUGUGUUUGUAAACUCUUUCAUCGUUUAAGCGAUUAAAUCUCUCGAGUAGACGCUGUCUCUUUAGAUGCGAGGGCAAAAUAGCACUUUGUGGACUUCCACAGAGGACAUCAUGUUUAAUACGGUUCCGGCAAAAUCCAGUCAGAAGUUGUUUGUAAGUUCUCAGACUUUUUACAAUGACUGCUUCAUGAACCGAAGCUGGAUUUGCGCAACAUCUCCUCCUGAAAGUGGGAUUACUGUGGACUUCUGGAUCACAGGCUGUAAGUAUUCAUGUUUAUUAUUUGCCUUUUACUGUAAGUUACGUUACCGGUAACCGGAGCUUAACAUUAUGUGUGUGUAGAGCUAAGCUUGCAAGCUAAUUGUUUUGUGUUGUAAUACUGUAUUUCAUAACGUACCAUAUUUACACACGUGUAUAUUGAAUUAUGCAGACUAUCGUUUUUUUAUCAAUGUUGAUUUAACGUUAGACGUGAUUUAAACUUGCUAAGUUACCAGCUAAACUGUUACCGGUAAAGUUUGUUCUCAUGAUCAAACUCAAGAAACUCUAAGUACAGAUGAUUUGUUUAACGUUAUAUGUAUUUUACUGUUGUAUUUACUUGAAGCUUUCUUAGAUUUUGAAACGAAGUAAACACGUAAUGUGUGUUGCUAAUGUUGGGCCAUGUAAUAUGUAAUACAUGAAUGUUUUAAUGAAUAGUCUUACGAUUUAUAGUCGUUGUACCCUAUUGUUAUAAUAUGUCUUUUUGACUGAAUACAUGUUUGUUUUAUUUGUCUAUAUCCUAGAUUCGCAGCUGGACACAUCCUUCUACACUGUAGGCAGCAGUAGAUGUGAUGUACAAUGCCAAACAUGCAACAUGACAGUGGGCACACAGUACAAGGAGUCAUACUGGCAUAUGAGGAGCAAAGGAACCCAGGCAGUAGCGUCGUUUCACAAUGUUUCCAUCACCAUCAUUAGUGGAUGCCUUUGCCGUCCGUAGCCUGAAAUUUCAGAUUUGCAGAAAAAAUGUGAUUUUCCCAUUUAUUGGAAUGCUGUGCAGGUUGUACCUUGCAGCCAUCCAUUACAAUGUUACCAAGCCGUAACAAAAGCAGGAGAGGGAAAGUACAAGGCUAUGUUCCCAAAACACACAAGUGACAUACUAUAAGCAGUAAUGUUUUUAUUUCAAAUAUAUUCAUAAAUAACAACUUAAUGUAUGAAGCAGGGAAAUAAAUGAUCAAAACAAAAGAUUUAUUGACUGCAAUAUUUGAACAGUUAUGCGGAUGAUGUGAUCAGGCAGGUGUUUGAUGAGGUAUUUGAAGAUAAGCUGAAGGAAACCCCGAUUCCAAUGGACCUGGCAUCACAGUUUGAGAGACCUUCAAAGGAGGACGUGAUUGCAUGCCAUCUCACGCGCUUCAGUGCAGGGGUCGUUGGAAGCCAACAUACUGACCAGUCUGAUCAGGAAGCUCCAAGCGUAUCUGGAGAACAACACACGACAGGAUGAUAACCCUAUUGUGUCGUCUUACACUGAAAAAAAAAAAUAAUUGCAUUU